AUUCGGGCUGAUAACUAGGCGGCGCUUUCGAUACUUACGACGUUUUGCCCUUUAAGUGCCCGAGAUAUUAAUCUUGUCGUGUCUUUGAUACGAUGGCGGAGAUCUUACAAGUU
RNAcentral lists this non-coding RNA (113 nucleotides) under Aspergillus sydowii CBS 593.65. The record is from RNAcentral. Lineage: Eukaryota; Fungi; Ascomycota; Eurotiomycetes; Eurotiales; Aspergillaceae.